RNAcentral lists this ribosomal RNA (301 nucleotides) under uncultured bacterium. Its description in RNAcentral is "partial 16S ribosomal RNA". It matches the Rfam family "Bacterial small subunit ribosomal RNA", at positions 509 to 807 of the family's 1533-position model. The record is from RNAcentral.
CAGCCGCCGCGGGAAUACGGAGGGGGCUAGCGUUGUUCGGAAUUACUGGGCGUAAAGCGCACGUAGGCGGCUUGGUAAGUUAGAGGUGAAAGCCCGAAGCUCAACUCCGGAAUUGCCUUUAAGACUGCCGAGCUAGUAGGUGAGAGAGGUAAGUGGAAUUCCGAGUGUAGAGGUGAAAUUCGUAGAUAUUCGGAAGAACACCAGUGGCGAAGGCGGCUUACUGGCUCAUUCUAGACGCUGAGGUGCGAAAGCGUGGGGAGCAAACAGGAUUAGAUACCCGCGUAGUCCCUGUCUCUUAUAC